GAUCCUGGCUCAGAUUGAACGCUGGCGGCAUGCCUUACACAUGCAAGUCGAACGGUAACAGGGAGCUUGCUCCGCUGACGAGUGGCGAACGGGUGAGUAAUAUAUCGGAACGUACCAUUCAGUGGGGAUAACGUAGCGAAAGUUGCGCUAAUACCGCAUAUUCUGUGAGCAGGAAAGCAGGGGAUCGCAAGACCUUGCGCUGAUUGAGCGGCCGAUAUCAGAUUAGCUUGUUGGUGAGGUAAAAGCUCACCAAGGCGACGAUCUGUAGCGGGUCUGAGAGGAUGAUCCGCCACACUGGAACUGAGACACGGUCCAGACUCCUACGGGAGGCAGCAGUGGGGAAUUUUGGACAAUGGGGGCAACCCUGAUCCAGCCAUGCCGCGUGAGUGAAGAAGGCCUUCGGGUUGUAAAGCUCUUUCAGCCGGGAAGAAAACGCAUGGGUUAAUACCCUGUGUGGAUGACGGUACCGGAAUAAGAAGCACCGGCUAACUACGUGCCAGCAGCCGCGGUAAUACGUAGGGUGCGAGCGUUAAUCGGAAUUACUGGGCGUAAAGCGUGCGCAGGCGGUUUUGUAGGACAGGCGUGAAAUCCCCGGGCUUAACCUGGGAACUGCGUUUGUGACUGCAAGGCUAGAGUACGGCAGAGGGGGGUGGAAUUCCACGUGUAGCAGUGAAAUGCGUAGAGAUGUGGAGGAACACCAAUGGCGAAGGCAGCCCCCUGGGUCGAUACUGACGCUCAUGCACGAAAGCGUGGGUAGCAAACAGGAUUAGAUACCCUGGUAGUCCACGCCCUAAACGAUGUCAACUAGGUGUUGGGAGGGUAAAACCUUUUAGUACCGGAGCUAACGCGUGAAGUUGACCGCCUGGGGAGUACGGCCGCAAGGUUAAAACUCAAAGGAAUUGACGGGGACCCGCACAAGCGGUGGAUGAUGUGGAUUAAUUCGAUGCAACGCGAAAAACCUUACCUACCCUUGACAUGCCAAGAACUUUCCAGAGAUGGAUUGGUGCCCGAAAGGGAACUUGGACACAGGUGCUGCAUGGCUGUCGUCAGCUCGUGUCGUGAGAUGUUGUGUUAAGUCCCGCAACGAGCGCAACCCUUGUCGUUAAUUGCCAUCAUUUAGUUGGGCACUUUAACGAGACUGCCGGUGACAAACCGGAGGAAGGUGGGGAUGACGUCAAGUCCUCAUGGCCCUUAUGGGUAGGGCUUCACACGUCAUACAAUGGUCGGUACAAAGGGUCGCCAAGCCGCGAGGUGGAGCCAAUCCCAGAAAGCCGAUCGUAGUCCGGAUCGCAGUCUGCAACUCGACUCGUGAAGUCGGAAUCGCUAGUAAUCGUGGAUCAGAAUGUCACGGUGAAUACGUUCCC
This 1364-nucleotide ribosomal RNA is filed under the name metagenome. RNAcentral describes it as "bacterial SSU rRNA". It matches the Rfam family "Bacterial small subunit ribosomal RNA", at positions 15 to 1375 of the family's 1533-position model. The record is from RNAcentral.